UCUACAUAUCAAUAAGCGGAGGAAAAGAAACUAACAAGGAUUCCCCUAGUAACUGCGAGUGAAGCGGGAAAAGCUCAAAUUUAAAAUCUGGUGGCCUUUGGUCGCUCGAGUUGUAAUUUAGAGAAGCGUCUUCCGCGCUGGACCGUGCACAAGUCUCCUGGAAUGGAGCGUCAUAGAGGGUGAGAAUCCCGUCUUUGGCACGGAUGCACCAGGGCUUUCGUGAUGCGCUCUCAAAGAGUCGAGUUGUUUGGGAAUGCAGCUCAAAAUGGGUGGUGAACUCCAUCUAAAGCUAAAUAUUGGCGAGAGACCGAUAGCGAACAAGUACCGUGAGGGAAAGAUGAAAAGCACUUUGGAAAGAGAGUGAAACAGUACGUGAAAUUGUUGAAAGGGAAACACUUAAAGUCAGUCGCGUCGACCGAGACUCAGCCUUGCUUUGGCUUGGUGUUCUUCUCGGCCGACGGGUCAGCAUCAAUUUUGCCCCUCGGAUAAUGGCAAGAGAAAGGUAGCACCUUUACGGGUGUGUUAUAGUCUCCUGUCGCAUGCGAGGGUCAGGAUUGAGGAACUCAGCACGCGCCUCUCGGUGUCGGGGCUUCGGCCCACGCUACGUGCUUAGGAUGCUGGCGUAAUGGCUUUAAAUGACCCGUCUUGAAACACGGACCAAGGAGUCUAACAUGCCCGCGAGUGUUCGGGUGGAAAACCCGUGCGCGUAAUGAAAGUGAAAGUUGGGACCCCUGUCGUGGGGGGCACCGACGCCCGGACCAGACCUUCUGUGACGGAUCUGCGGUAGAGCGUGCAUGUUGGGACCCGAAAGAUGGUGAACUAUGCCUGAAUAGGGUGAAGCCAGAGGAAACUCUGGUGGAGGCUCGUAGCGAUUCUGACGUGCAAAUCGAUCGUCAAAUUUGGGUAUAGGGGCGAAAGACUAAUCGAACCAUCUAGUAGCUGG
Molecule: ribosomal RNA, 943 nt
Filed under: Russula griseobrunnea
Lineage: Eukaryota; Fungi; Basidiomycota; Agaricomycetes; Russulales; Russulaceae
Description: partial large subunit ribosomal RNA
Rfam family: Eukaryotic large subunit ribosomal RNA
Source: RNAcentral